GGGCAAUGAUGUUCAUGUACAUAAAGCAUUUCUACACAAUUUAAACAUGUUCACAAGUAGAAGCAAGUCCAUCAUUGAUGUUUACCAUCGAUUUGGCAUACUGUUUUGGGAUCAUCCCGAUUUGCUUGUGGAGCUGAAUUGCUUUCUGCCAGCUUCGUCAAAUGGUCCAAUUCGUGAAGGAGGGAUUGCUAUGUUAUUUCAAUCGCUUCAGUUUAUAUAAAUAGGUGGAAUACUAUGAUAGUACUAUAGUUUUUGUUUCUUUUUUUUGCUGAUUAAAAAAAAAAUCUUAUAUUUUGGAAAGAAAAAAAAAAAAUAUAUAUAUAUAUAUAUAUAUAUAUAUAGGAGAUCCACAAAAUCGAAAGAUCUACAAAAAUGUGUUAUACAACAAUAUCUUAUGAUAUGUUUAUCGCUAUCUAUAAUAUACUAUUUAUGAUAAUUAAAAUAUAAAUUUAAACCUGUUAUAUUUUAAUUAUCAUAAGAGUCAAUAAUACACCUUUCAGUGAUUAUUCUCGUUAACUUGUCAAUAUAUCAAGAAAUUGCUUGAGCAUUUCUCUGUGAUAACCAAAGAGUAGAUGAGAUGCUUCAUUCUUUUUUUUUUUUUGAGCAACGAGAUGCUUCAUUCAAAAGACUUGCAAACUGGAAGAUCAUACCAAAACAAAGCAAACUUGUUCAUUCACCAACUUGACAGAGACAACAACAA
Brassica rapa (field mustard) is the source of this 700-nucleotide long non-coding RNA. RefSeq lists it as uncharacterized. The record is from RefSeq and is a predicted model, not a curated record. Lineage: Eukaryota; Viridiplantae; Streptophyta; Magnoliopsida; Brassicales; Brassicaceae.